This 199-nucleotide long non-coding RNA is filed under the name Ricinus communis (castor bean). RNAcentral describes it as "long non-coding RNA (RCOM_LNC002043)". Lineage: Eukaryota; Viridiplantae; Streptophyta; Magnoliopsida; Malpighiales; Euphorbiaceae. The record is from RNAcentral.
GACUUUCCCGUUUGAUUUAUUUACUUGAUUUACAGCCUAAAUGUGUGCGUAUAUGUGUCAAAUGAAGGUAGGGAGUUCCAUAAUGCAGAUAACGAAAGUCGAUUCCAAGUCAUGAGAUGGAAGUAAGUGAUGGCGGGACGUUGCAUCGACUUCGUAUCCCUGGAAAGGGUGGGAUUGGCUCACGAUGUGCGUACUCUGU